RNAcentral lists this ribosomal RNA (245 nucleotides) under uncultured bacterium. RNAcentral's name for it is "partial 16S ribosomal RNA". It matches the Rfam family "Bacterial small subunit ribosomal RNA", at positions 524 to 768 of the family's 1533-position model. The record is from RNAcentral.
UACGUAGGGUGCAAGCGUUGUUCGGAAUCACUGGGCGUAAAGGGAGCGUAGGCGGGAUCGUAAGUUAGAAGUUUAAUACAUGGGCUUAACCCGUGGCUGGCUUUUAAUACUGCGGUUCUUGAGUGUGGGAGAGGGCGAUGGAAUUCCAGGUGUAGCGGUGGAAUGCGUAGAUAUCUGGAAGAACACCAGUAGCGAAGGCGGUCGCCUGGCCUAACACUGACGCUGAUGCUCGAAAGCUAGGGGAG